GUCCAUGGUGGCUGUGCGCAGGGCACUUUCGAGUGCGCUGGGUUCCUUGAUUCCCGGUCUACCAACCUGCGCAUAGCCGCCACCCAU
This 87-nucleotide non-coding RNA is filed under the name Pseudomonas asplenii. Lineage: Bacteria; Pseudomonadati; Pseudomonadota; Gammaproteobacteria; Pseudomonadales; Pseudomonadaceae. The record is from RNAcentral.